Molecule: ribosomal RNA, 437 nt
Filed under: uncultured bacterium
Lineage: Bacteria
Description: partial 16S ribosomal RNA
Rfam family: Bacterial small subunit ribosomal RNA
Source: RNAcentral
AGCGAACGCUGGCGGCAUGCUUAACACAUGCAAGUCGCGCGGGUGGUUUCGGCCAUCAGCGGCGGACGGGUGAGUAUCGCGUAGGAAUGUAUCCCGAGGUGGGGGACAACCCUGGGAAACUGGGGCUAAUACCGCAUGGGGCCUGUGGGUCAAAGCCUUAGGGCGCCUUGGGAGCAGCCUGCGUCCGAUUAGGUAGUUGGUGGGGUAAAGGCCUACCAAGCCUGCGAUCGGUAGCUGGUCUGAGAGGACGAUCAGCCACACUGGGACUGAGACACGGCCCCGACUCCUACGGGAAGCAGCAGUGGGGAAUAUUGGACAAAUGGCGCCAGCCUGAUCCAGCAAUGCCGCGUGGGUGAAGAAGGUCUUCGGAUUGUAAAGCCCUUUCGGCGGGGACGAUGAUGACGGUACCCGCAGAAGAAGCCCCGGCUAACUUCGUG